UUAAUUUUUUUACUAAACACUGUCUCAUCCAUAUUUAUAUUUUUCAUUCAUUCAGAUAUUCUAGAUUCUAGAUUUAAAAAUCACCGCUAAGUAUCUUUCAUCCAAUGUUAUUCUCCCUCUUCAGAUCUGUUUAUCGUGUUAUGAUCUCACUUGUUUUCAUUUAGCCCACGCUUUCUCCCUGCUACUGCAGAGUUUUUGGUAUUGCCGUGGAACUUUUGGCACAAGAUAUGGUUGUCGAAAGCAAAACAAUUUCUCCUCGUUGGAGACAGAAUUCAAUUAAUUCACCACAAAAUAAGAAGCAACAGACACGAUUGGGUGAGCUAGGCAGCUUCUCAACAAUUGUUCAUCGACACCGCUUCCUUCUAACAGCCUGUGCCCUCUUGGCUUUCCUCUGCACCAUAUAUCUCUACCUUGCUGUCACCUUUGUAGCCAACGACUCAUGCUCAGCCUUGUCAGGUACUCAAAAGUCGAUGUGUCAUAUACAACAAGCUAAAGAUUUUGUUUCCAAAGGAAAACUAAGAAAUUUAUUGUAGCCAAUGUCUUUACUGCAUUGAUAAUUUGUUGUAAGCUAUUUUCCCUAUCGAGACCUACUUGAAAUAUAGAUCUUGGUCAUGUUCAUGUGUAGGUGAGAAGUAGCUUUGAAUUGUUACAGUAUACAUGUAACUGCCUUUAAAACGACAACAGUUCCAACUAAAACUGUUUUAGUUUUAGUAAAACAUAUUUUUUCCUGAGGAUCAUUGAAAUGAAAAACAUGUAGCUGAC
Daucus carota subsp. sativus is the source of this 762-nucleotide long non-coding RNA. RefSeq lists it as uncharacterized. Lineage: Eukaryota; Viridiplantae; Streptophyta; Magnoliopsida; Apiales; Apiaceae. The transcript is spliced from 2 exons. The record is from RefSeq and is a predicted model, not a curated record.